ACCGGCGCGACGGGUGAAGUAACACGUACUCAACCUGCCGAUGACUCGGGGAUAGCCUUUCGAAAGAAAGAUUAAUACCCGAUGGCAUAGUUCUUCCGCAUGGUAGAACUAUUAAAGAACUUCGGUCAUCGAUGGGGAUGCGUUCCAUUAGGUUGUUGGCGGGGUAACGGCCCACCAAGCCUUCGAUGGAUAGGGGGUUCUGAGAGGAAGGUCCCCCACAUUGGAACUGAGACACGGUCCAAACUCCUACGGGAGGCAGCAGUGAGGAAUAUUGGUCAAUGGGCGAGAGCCUGAACCAGCCAAGUAGCGUGAAGGAUGACUGCCCUAUGGGUUGUAAACUUCUUUUAUAAAGGAAUAAAGUCGGGUAUGGAUACCCGUUUGCAUGUACUUUAUGAAUAAGGAUCGGCUAACUCCGUG
Molecule: ribosomal RNA, 417 nt
Filed under: uncultured bacterium
Lineage: Bacteria
Description: bacterial SSU rRNA
Rfam family: Bacterial small subunit ribosomal RNA
Source: RNAcentral